UAGUCAGACACGCAGUGACUCCUGCAGGCAGCAUUUCUGCUGAUCACUUUUACAACAGAAAAGAACAUUACAUUUCUUCACCGGGGUGAUCUCAUCUUGCAUAGAGACCACCCUGCCACCACACCACCCAUUUAAACAGACAACCAGAGAUGGGAAGGAUUGUUUAGAGAUCAACAAGGGAAGAACAGAACUUUGCAGAUGUCCGUUAUUGUAGAACAUGAACAAAUAUCCAGGGAACGUGAGAGAUGGCAUAAAAAGAAUAAGGAAUGAGGAAGUGCAAUGACAAAGCUCCCCUUCAGGAAGUCAAUGCUAACCACCUAGAAAAGAGUUGUUAGAAGAAAGUUAUAUUGGAUUAGAAGAAGUACCAGGGGAGUGGGAGUCAGAGUGUAUGUAUUUGACCAGUGGAUCAAAAUUUAUCCAACCCUGGAUAAUAAAGCGGCUACUAUUAUCAAGGGGGAAAGAAAAUUGUCCCUAGAUUCGGCAUUCCUAUUUGGCUUGAUUUAACAUAUUGAAAUAAAUUGACGAAAUUAAACAGCUGGGAAUUCCACAGCAGUUGAAUUGAAUUGUGCUUAUCGACCACAAGCUGUGGAUUGAAAAGGGUAAGACAGACCCCGAAAAUCAAAAUAAUAAAUUAAAGGCUGGGACUGAGUUUGGCUGAAUUGAAGCAUUCCCCAUGGUUAAUUUGAAUAAGAGUCAUGCCUGUAGGGAAAUCUGGACUGAAUCCAGCUGAAAUUCUUAUGAGGAACCUUCAUUAAGAGUACAUUGGAAAUCACAAUUUGACUGCGGAGAUAACUGACCACAGUUUAGCUGGGAUCAUAGUGUGGGAAGGCUUGUAUCAUAGAGCAGUGUACAUAGAGAGGCCUUCUGUUGACAGUGGAUGAAAGGAAUUUAUGGGUCUAUCUCCACCACUGUAAGAAUAUCAGUGGAAGUAUGGACUGCUAACUUACUUUAUCCCAGGUUCUUAAAGGAACUUUAUACUCUACUAUGGAUCAAGCGCAGAUGAAUUGGCAACACGGAUGGAGGGGAUUCACGCCCAUGAAAACUCGGGAAGUGAAGACUCAUCAGACGGGAAUCAUGAAGCUACGCCCAUGAAAACUCAGGAUGCUUGAUGACAUUCUGGGAAGAUACAUCAUCAUCUUGUUGUUAAUAUGUUUGAUAGAAUGUAACAGUCACCAGUGUACAACUAGUUAUCAUAAAUGAUGGUUAUCAUAUGAUAAAAGGGAGGAAUGUAAAUCCUGGCCAAAAAGGAGCAGGAACAGAACCAGCAUUUAGCAGAGGAUUCAUGCAUUGUAAGGCCAUUUUGGUCAAGUCUGUGUUUCUGUAUAUAACAAGACAAGGUGCCAGUAAGUCUAAGACCCAGAUCAAUGUUGCAGAUAAGAGAUGUAUGAGUAUCUCUUCAGUUGACAAAAUGAAUGAGAUUUUUGCAGAGGACCUCUAAAGUAGUAUAUAUGCAUUAAGUUGAUUGAAUUACUGCAAAAGCAUUGUAAAUAGUGUAAAUAAUGUUGCGAGUCAGUUACCCUGCUGUUUGUUGAUUGGCCAAAGUGUUAAGCCCUGGCAGGUUUGUUUGAGUUCCAGGGUAAAUGUUGCAUUAUUCAGUUAAGUUGGCUUCCUUCCAGAAGCUUCUCCUAGAAACAAUGCAUAGGAGAUUUUGUAAUUGGUUUGGGGAACUGUCAAUAAUGUACUGAUGUAAUUAAUAUGUUUGAUUGGAUUGUAAAGGGACCACCCCUAUGAAGUUCGGCCCAUCAAAGUUCGUGGGCGUAUAAAAGGUGGCUCCAUCUUACAUCGAGAUGAAGGGCUUGGCCAGGCAGAUGCAAGGAUCGAACCCACGGUGGUUUAGGUAUCGUAUAGGGGAAUUUGCUGUUCAAUCUAAAAAUAAAGAUUAGUUGUUCCAGU
Long non-coding RNA from Amblyraja radiata (thorny skate), 1893 nucleotides. RefSeq lists it as uncharacterized. NCBI's taxonomy places the organism in Eukaryota, Metazoa, Chordata, Chondrichthyes, Rajiformes, Rajidae. The record is from RefSeq and is a predicted model, not a curated record. The transcript is spliced from 2 exons.